AGACCAGCUACACAUGAGAAUACUACAGUACUUGUGUGUAUACUGUGUGUAGAACCAUGAAUCAUCCUUUACUGAGUUUUCAGAAAGCAUGAUGGGGCAGGGACUUUCAGCUUUUCUUCAGCUUUCUCUCUGGAAAUGAAGGCAGAGUGAGACAGACAGGGAUAAUGAGAAGAGAGAAUGGUUGCAGAGACAGAAGCCGUAGGUCCAGCAGUGUCACAGCUGGCCUGAGGCGGAGCCAGAGAACAGCCGUGUUGUUGCCUGAAUCUGUUUUGACUUUGAGGACGUGUCAUCGUCAGACUUUCAGAAGUUGAAGAUGUUCUUUGUCAUUCC
Molecule: long non-coding RNA, 330 nt
Organism: Acanthopagrus latus (yellowfin seabream)
Lineage: Eukaryota; Metazoa; Chordata; Actinopteri; Spariformes; Sparidae
Exons: 3
Source: RefSeq, a predicted model, not a curated record